Molecule: ribosomal RNA, 253 nt
Filed under: uncultured bacterium
Lineage: Bacteria
Description: partial 16S ribosomal RNA
Rfam family: Bacterial small subunit ribosomal RNA
Source: RNAcentral
UACGUAGGGGGCUAGCGUUGUCCGGAAUCAUUGGGCGUAAAGCGCGUGUAGGCGGUCCGGUAAGUCCGCUGUGAAAGUCGAGGGCUCAACCCUCGAAUGCCGGUGGAUACUGUCGGGCUAGAGUACGGAAGAGGCGAGUGGAAUUCCUGGUGUAGCGGUGAAAUGCGCAGAUAUCUGGAGGAACACCGGUGGCGAAGGCGGCAUCCUGGACCGGCAUUGACGCUGAGGCGCGAAAGCCAGGGGAGCAAACGGG